This 451-nucleotide unclassified non-coding RNA is filed under the name uncultured Alphaproteobacteria bacterium. Its description in RNAcentral is "partial 16S-23S ribosomal RNA intergenic spacer". The stretch from base 78 to 150 matches the Rfam family "tRNA". Lineage: Bacteria; Pseudomonadati; Pseudomonadota; Alphaproteobacteria. The record is from RNAcentral.
CCUCCUUUCUAAGGAAUAAAAAUUUUUACCGUCCUCGACUCUCUUCCAAUUAUUAAAAUUAGGGAGCAUCCCAUUAUGGGCGAUUAGCUCAGGUGGUAGAGCACACCCCUGAUAAGGGUGCGGUCGCUGGUUCAAGUCCAGCAUCGCCCACCAAAAUUUUAAUAAAAAACGAGAGUUUAAUUUUAUAUUAAUCUGUUUGAAAUUGUUUGUGAAAUCUCAAUUAUUAAAUAAUAUUUGAUAAUUUCUUUUAGACUGUACUGAACUAGAUUUAUUGUUCAAUGUAGAAGUAAUGGUCCGUCUGACCGGUCUCUACUUUCAUGUACGGUCUGAUCAAGUGUCUAUAAGAGCAUUUUAGUGGAUGCCUUGGCACAGAGAGGCGAUGAAGGACGUGACACGCUGCGAUAAGCUGUGGGGAGUUGUGAGUAAGCUUUGAUCCGCAAAUUCCGAAUGG